RNAcentral lists this ribosomal RNA (253 nucleotides) under uncultured bacterium. RNAcentral's name for it is "partial 16S ribosomal RNA". It matches the Rfam family "Bacterial small subunit ribosomal RNA", at positions 524 to 776 of the family's 1533-position model. The record is from RNAcentral.
UACAGGGGGUGCAAACGUUGCUCGGAAUUAUUGGGCGUAAAGCGCGCGUAGGCGGCCACUUAAGUCGGAUGUGAAAGCCCCUGGCUCAACUGGGGAAGUGCACCCGAAACUGAGCGGCUUGAAUGCAAAAGAGGGUCGCGGAAUUCCCGGUGUAGAGGUGAAAUUCGUAGAUAUCGGGAGGAACACCGGUGGCGAAGGCGGCAUCCUGGACCGACACUGACACUGAGGAGCGAAAGCCAGGGGAGCAAACGGG